RNAcentral lists this ribosomal RNA (468 nucleotides) under uncultured bacterium. Its description in RNAcentral is "partial 16S ribosomal RNA". It matches the Rfam family "Bacterial small subunit ribosomal RNA", at positions 28 to 507 of the family's 1533-position model. The record is from RNAcentral.
GACGAACGCUGGCGGCGUGCUUAACACAUGCAAGUCGAACGGAAAGGCCCGGCUUUUGUGGGGUGCUCGAGUGGCGAACGGGUGAGUAAAACGUGAGUAAACUGCCCUUGACUUUGGGAUAACUUCAGGAAACUGGGGCUAAUACCGGAUAGGAGCUCCUGCUGCAUGGGGGGGGUUGGAAAGUUUCGGCGGUUGGGGAUGGACUCGCGGGUUAUCAGCUUGUUGGUGGGGUAGUGGCUUACCAAGGCUUUGACGGGUAGCCGGCCUGGGAGGGUGACCGGCCACAUGGGGCCUGAGAUACGGCCCAGACUCCUACGGGAGGCAGCAGUCGGGAAUAUUGCACAAUGGGCGGAAGCCUGAUGCAGCAACGCCGCGUGCGGGAUGACGGCCUUCGGGUUGUAAACCGCUUUCGCCUGUGACGAAGCGUGAGUGACGGUAAUGGGUAAAGAAGCACCGGCUAACUACGUG